AUGUCUCCUUCGAAAUCUCCACACCCUUCCCCAUCCCACCAUCCCUCGAUAGAUCUGGCGAGCCAUGGCGAACGGCGGUGCGUAGACGGAGGAAGCAACAUCCUGCGUCCACAUCAUGGGGACAACGUCGGUCAAGCGGCGAGGCUGGGGAUGGGAAGAGAGCGCACACAGGUGGAGGCGGCGGCAGGGGCGCCUACUCACAAGUGGACGAUGUCGGAGGAACUCGCGACGAGGCAGGAGGACAGGGAAAAGGAGAGGCAGCGGCGCGCAAGCUCGAGGCGUACAAGAUGGACAAGCUCGCCGGUAUCGUUAUCAAGUACGACGUAUGCUGGAGCCCAGGAGCCAGACGCCACCGUUGAUGACGACUACUACUACUCGGGAGGUGCCUACUACUACGUGCUGCCCGCUGACGACGACCAGGAGUAG
RNAcentral lists this ribosomal RNA (426 nucleotides) under Triticum aestivum (bread wheat). RNAcentral describes it as "partial small subunit ribosomal RNA". Lineage: Eukaryota; Viridiplantae; Streptophyta; Magnoliopsida; Poales; Poaceae. The record is from RNAcentral.